This is a long non-coding RNA of Arachis stenosperma, 385 nucleotides long. RefSeq lists it as uncharacterized. The record is from RefSeq and is a predicted model, not a curated record. NCBI's taxonomy places the organism in Eukaryota, Viridiplantae, Streptophyta, Magnoliopsida, Fabales, Fabaceae. The transcript is spliced from 3 exons.
CCUCCGUCGCGUGGCCACGCCGCCGCCGAAGGUGCUCCUCCGUAACCACUGUCCCGUUCGAAGGUUCUCCACCACUGCUCCUUGUCUUGGUCACUCGGUGUCUCUGUCUUCAUCUUGCAUGCUCUGUUGAAGGCUUCUUAUAGGUGAUGAAGCCGAUGAUGCAGACUGGAACAUUGUUCGCUCUGUGAGAGUUAAAACAUUACAUAUCAGUUCUCCUAUCUUAGCUGCUAAAAGUCCCUAUUUCUACGAGGUAUUAAGAGGAGCUUAUGACCUUGCCAUUAGCUGGUAUAGAAGCAGUAAUUUCUAGUGAUGAUCUUCAAGUUGCCAUUUUAUGUUUGAUUGGUUGUUUUGUUAUUUGACUUUUGAAUUUAUAUUUGAAUGAGAU